RNAcentral lists this ribosomal RNA (221 nucleotides) under uncultured Staphylococcus sp. RNAcentral describes it as "partial 16S ribosomal RNA". It matches the Rfam family "Bacterial small subunit ribosomal RNA", at positions 118 to 334 of the family's 1533-position model. Lineage: Bacteria; Bacillati; Bacillota; Bacilli; Caryophanales; Staphylococcaceae. The record is from RNAcentral.
UGGAUAACCUACCUAUAAGACUGGGAUAACUUCGGGAACCGGAGCUAAUACCGGAUAAUAUAUUGAACCGCAUGGUUCAAUAGUGAAAGACGGUUUUGCUGUCACUUAUAGAUGGAUCCGCGCCGCAUUAGCUAGUUGGUAAGGUAACGGCUUACCAAGGCAACGAUGCGUAGCCGACCUGAGAGGGUGAUCGGCCACACUGGAACUGAGACACGGUCCAG